RNAcentral lists this ribosomal RNA (426 nucleotides) under uncultured bacterium. RNAcentral describes it as "bacterial SSU rRNA". It matches the Rfam family "Bacterial small subunit ribosomal RNA", at positions 355 to 772 of the family's 1533-position model. The record is from RNAcentral.
UGGGGAAUUGUUCACAAUGGGCGCAAGCCUGAUGACGCAACGCCGCGUGGGGGAUGAAGGUCUUCGGAUUGUAAACCCCUGUCGAAUGGGACGAAAGACUCGCGAGUUAAUACUUUGCGAGCGUGACGGUACCGUUACAGGAAGCCACGGCUAACUCUGUGCCAGCAGCCGCGGUAAUACAGAGGUGGCAAGCGUUGUUCGGAAUUACUGGGCGUAAAGGGCGCGUAGGCGGCCUACUAAGUCAGACGUGAAAUCCCCCGGCUUAACCUGGGAACUGCGUCUGAUACUGGAAGGCUUGAGUAUGGGAGAGGGAUGUAGAAUUCCAGGUGUAGCGGUGAAAUGCGUAGAUAUCUGGAGGAACACCGGUGGCGAAGGCGGCAUCCUGGACCGGUACUGACGCUGAGGCGCGAAAGCCAGGGGAGCAAA